This 925-nucleotide long non-coding RNA is filed under the name Rhinopithecus bieti (black snub-nosed monkey). RNAcentral describes it as "lncRNA (ENSRBIG00000046411.1)". The record is from RNAcentral. Lineage: Eukaryota; Metazoa; Chordata; Mammalia; Primates; Cercopithecidae.
GUGGGAACAGUCUCUUUUGUCUGGGGGGCAGUAAUUAGGAAAGAUGAGGUGACAUUCAACUUUUGUCUUGCAGGAUGCAUGGAUUUUUGUUUGAUGAUGGUGUAGGGAAUGUGUGCCAAGAGAGAUGCAUCGUGAGAAAAGUCAUGGCAGAACCCAUGAGGCAACCUGGAAAUCACUUGGCAUGGCACAGUUAAGUGAAUGAAGAACCUGACAGUAUGCUAUCCCACAUGUUUAAGGACAGAGGACUUUUCCUUAUUAUAAUGAUAGCACAGGUGUCUGGAGAAAUAAGCAAGAUUAUAGAGGAGCUUUCUUAAUUGAUUGAAGCCCUGAAUAAUUUGAAACCAUUUUGAACUACUUGCAUCAUGGACAGCUCAUUAUAAAUGAAGGCAUUAAUUUAUUGGGGACACAUGAGCUUGCUGGAGAACGAGGCACAAGGAGCAGAGCCAAAACCACAAGUUUAUUCCAGCCAAGUCAGACAUCUCUUGGCCAACUGUCAGUCAGGGGAGACUCUGAACACUGCCCAUUUGAGAGAAAUCAGACAUCUCUAGGUCAACUACCAGUCAGGGGAGACUCUGCAAACUGCCCAUUUGAGGUUAGUCCAACUCACUGACUCUAGAACUUAUGACUUAUGUAAUGAUUGUGUGGCCUUAGAGCUGAGUAAUUUUUUUGUUGUUGUUUUUUGUUUUUAGGUCUAUAGCCUUCCUCCAUGAACAGCUUUAGAAUGCAGCAAAUGCCUUAAAGGAGAGGCCUGCUGGGAAUUUAAAGCCCCUCAAAUCUCUAAUUUUGUCAAUUCUAGCCAAUUCUAGCCACCAAAAUGGCUCUACUGUUUCUAUCUCCCUAAAAAGGGCUCUUCUAGAGUUAGACCAUCUAGCUGUGUCCAUAUCAGCAAAGCCUGCAGGAAAUAAACAACUUUAUUUUACUUCAC